This 567-nucleotide ribosomal RNA is filed under the name uncultured Glomus. RNAcentral describes it as "SSU rRNA". It matches the Rfam family "Eukaryotic small subunit ribosomal RNA", at positions 528 to 1101 of the family's 1831-position model. The record is from RNAcentral. Lineage: Eukaryota; Fungi; Glomeromycota; Glomeromycetes; Glomerales; Glomeraceae.
AAUUCACUAGUGAUUUUGGAGGGCAAGUCUGGUGCCAGCAGCCGCGGUAAUUCCAGCUCCAAUAGCGUAUAUUAAAGUUGUUGCAGUUAAAAAGCUCGUAGUUGAAUUUCGGGAUUAAUUUAUUGGUCGUGCUAUUGUACGUACUGGUAUUAUUGAUUCCUACCUUCUGACGAACCAUGAUGUCAUUAAUUUGGUGUCAUGGGGAAUCAGGACUGUUACUUUGAAAAAAUUAGAGUGUUUAAAGCAGGCUCACGCUUGAAUACAUUAGCAUGGAAUAACGAAAUAGGACGUUUGAUUCUAUUUUGUUGGUUUCUAGGAUCGACGUUAUGAUUAAUAGGGAUAGUUGGGGGCAUUAGUAUUCAAUUGUCAGAGGUGAAAUUCUUGGAUUUAUUGAAGACUAACUACUGCGAAAGCAUUUGCCAAGGAUGUUUUCAUUAAUCAAGAACGAAAGUUAGGGGAUCGAAGACGAUCAGAUACCGUCGUAGUCUUAACCAUAAACUAUGCCGACUAGGGAUCGGAUGAUGUUAAUUUUUUAAUGACUCAUUCGGCGCCUUACGGGAAACAAUC